This 986-nucleotide long non-coding RNA is filed under the name Nicotiana benthamiana. Its description in RNAcentral is "long non-coding RNA (NBEN_LNC028354)". Lineage: Eukaryota; Viridiplantae; Streptophyta; Magnoliopsida; Solanales; Solanaceae. The record is from RNAcentral.
UCCGACCCACCCGACAACCUAAGACCUACCUAUAAACCGAGAUACACAAGAACGCCUAAAAGGGGGACAUUCUGCAAAAAAGUAGCAGCCGCAGACCUUAAGGAGGAGAACAAAAAAUGGCGACUGAAAAAAUCUAAGAACAGACAGCCGCAACAGAGCAAGAAAAAUGAUCCCCCCUGUAGCUCGUCUCCUUCACACCCACCCCAAUAAUGCCAUUCUGCUCUUCUUCAUCAGCGUGUCACCAUUGGCAGCGAGCUACUCAAAAAGCUCCACCAUUAGGUGCGAUGCCUUCAUAAACUCAUGAGUUCGAUUGCUCUUGACCAAGAACUUAUUGGAAAAAAUACGCACACAUACAGCCGCUGAUAAUCUAUGACCUGCCGAAAAUAAAGGUUAGAAAACCUGAAAAUGACCACCAUUUCACGAAUCAAAGCUCAAGCUCGAACCAGUCGAAAGUUCCGGUCACCAGCACUGUGCCGUCCCGUGCGAUGUCGUCGAGUCCAUGUCCCAUUCAGGGUCAUUCUCUAGUUCGUAUUCUGGAUUGCAAUUUUGGAUUCAUCAAUAAAUUACCCCUUUGACUAACUUGGCAUCAAAAAGAGGUUCAUUUUGUUCCUAUUUUACAUAAUUAUAUGAUUGUUUGAGUGAGUUGUUUGUGUAGAUUUUUUUGAUAUGCCAUGAUGAAUUCUGUUCAUUAGCACACAACUUCUUUAAUCAGCAAUUUGAAGGUGUGUUUUCAAUUCUUAUUGUUAAUACUCACUAUGUAUUCUUUCUGUUAAUGAAAGAGUUGUAGUAAGUGCUGUAUACGUAGGUUUAUGACCUCUAUAAUUUCAUAUCGUGUCAUGGCUUUUGAAUUAUUUUGUUUGACUUCAUUUGUUUCCGUCUGACUUGUUUGCCCACUAGGCUUGUUUUCUGUUUAGUUAACUGUAAAUAAUUAGUUAUUAUGCUUUCUCUUUUCUCUUGAAAUUAAAGGAAUUAAAUUGAGUGUGGUG